Molecule: long non-coding RNA, 4120 nt
Organism: Acanthochromis polyacanthus (spiny chromis)
Lineage: Eukaryota; Metazoa; Chordata; Actinopteri; Pomacentridae
Exons: 2
Source: RefSeq, a predicted model, not a curated record
CUGCAGGCACAUCGCUCGAGUGGGCAGUGUCACUACUAAUGAGAGUGGCGACAUGACGGGUCCAAAAAAUUUUGGUCACGUGAUCUAUAGGAGCCAUUUUGUUUCCUAUUUAUGAACGCCGGUUAUGCCUGUUAACGUUGUUUACAACGCAGAGAGUAAUUCUUGGACUUUUUUGGCUUCAUAAAUACCUGAAAAAUGACGGGCUGUUGUGCCUUUGGGUACACAAAUCGAUCCGAGAAGGGAUUACACAUGUUUAGAUUUCCCAGGAGUAGUGAAAGAAUGAAACUGUGGGAAAAUAAAGUCCGGAGAGUGGGAUGGAAACCGACUUCAUCAUGAUUUUUGUACCAGGUUAGUCCCAUAUAUGUACUUUCAUGUUAUGAUGUAUGGGUGAAUGACAGAUAGAAAAGUUUGAUGUGAUUUUAGGCAGUUGUGGUUAUUUUGACUUUGACCAUUUUCAUGCAUGGAGAUGCAUGAAAUAUGGGCCGCUGAAAUUUAACGGGGUAACCCGUUAAACUUCAGCGGCCCAUCUGAGCUUCGACAACAGCCUCCCUGUUCAUUCACAUGAUUUCGAAUUCAACAAACAGCUGACAGUUUUCUGUUUCCUAUUUUCUGUUUUCCGUCCAACCUGCAGUCACUUAUCAGCCUCAUAUGACCCGAACAGGCUCCGUCUUCACCUGUUUCUGGGCUGUUAGCCAUAUGCUUACAGCUGCAGCAGCGUACAGGCGGACGGGAAAACGUAUUUUACUAAAUUUACCGAAGCUGCAAACUCGAUGAUAGAAACAUUAUACACCCAUGGAAAGCUUAGAUUCUCAUGAAUCCGCCGGUAUAAACCACUUUCAGAUGUGAUUACCACAGCGGGUAAUAUAAACACAUUUGUCCAACAAACAGCAAAUAACGUAAACAGCACAACUCACCUUUGAAGGCUCAAAACUAGUCACAGAUGAAAAUAUUCAACUAAAAACUAGUGAUGGGACGAACAACACUGGUGCGUCAGCACUGUGCCGAGCACACAAUAGCGAAACCUCGUAUUGGUGCGUGUAUCGCUUUAAGAAAAAAAUCACGUGACCGAUACAGGGAGUGUGUCGUUUGGAUGUGCGGCGCCAAAUUGCGUUUAUAAAGAAACAAGCUGUAUCGACAUGUAUUGUUGCUGUGUCUGUUUUCCCUCACCUUGUUCAACUUCUGACUUCAUGGAUCAUUCCACUAAGAAGAAGUUUUCCCCGGUCUGGAAUCAUUUUGAUCUUUUGACGGCAAAUAAGGUAAAUCUUUUUCUCCUUUGAACAUUGUUUACUGUUAGUUAUUUUUAAUUAAAUAUGUUUCUACUCUUUUCUGUAAAAGGUUUGAAUUGUUUUCAGAUAGAUUAACUUUUUAUUUUAUUGUAGGUGAAGUGUCGGCUCUGCUCCACGGAGCUAUCUUACAUCAAUAAGAGCACUUCAUCAAUGCUGAGGCAUUAUAGGCAUUAUAGUAAUAAUUGACUUUACUGCCAUUAUCUGCUUCUCUAACAUAUAUUAGUGUGUGUGUGUUUACAGUGUUUGCAAAAUGCAUGUCUACAGUCGAGCUUAAUAUCAGAAUAUUCUAUUUCUGUUAUUCCCGCUAUGAAUAUUAAAAUACGCAGAACCAUUUGUCCUGUAUCAUAGCUACAUGUAUGACGUUUGCAGCAAAAACAAUAAAAAUAAAAACACGUGAAAAUCAGUUUAAUAUUCAGAGUUAAGAUGGAUUAAAUGCGCUGUCAAAAAGCGCUGAGUGGAGCGGCUGACCGGACCAACAGGGCGGCCGUAUUUCUCGCUGCGCAGCACCCUGAGCGGCGUCUACUCUGUUGCGCGAGCAAAGCACAUUGGGAAAUGGGUACCAAUAAUAGCUAAAUUAGAGUUAUUAUUUCGUUUUGGUUUUCCUGUUUAUUAUUUGUUCUGUUUUGGGUUGGACAAUGGAAAUCAAACACCAAUCCCUCAAUUUUUGGUCAUACAAAAAAACAGGAAAAUGAAAUAUCAAGUGAUUAUUUUGUUUUCCGUUUGCCAGGUUGAAUGGAAUACUGGAAUGGUCGGAUGAUCCACGGACCCCCUAACCCUGUUAUCCGUUUUGUCCAUUUUCCAAUUGUGCACAAAAUCGGAAAUCGAUAAAAGGAUUCGUUAUCCUUUUUUGAGGGGGGGGGGGGGGGGGGGUCUGGAAACAAAUAUUGAAAAAAACGAGUCAUUCCGUUUUUUUGGUUUUGGUUUUAUUUUGAAAAAAGAAUGAACGAAUGAUACACAGAUUCAGCAUGUGAGUUUUUCCAUCUUAUUUCAUUGUGCUUACUUGCAAUGAUUUUAGAACUACUGUAGAGGUCACUAUUGAGUGACCAACACAGUGUCAAUACAGUGCCAACACAGUUUGGGUAGUGUGUCAAUACACUCCUUGAGGCAUCAUCAUCCCAUCACUACUAAAAACGGCCAUAAUCCAACCUUGGACAUCCAGACAAUACAAGCCAGUAAAUUAUUUUGUCCAAAACGUGUCUUAAAAUCAAUAAACAAUCCAUAGUUUUCGUGAAUGUCCACCUCGCGCUGCGCGUCCCAUAUUGAGUGAAUGGAAAAAAAAUGGCUUCAAAUCCCCAGUUGUCGCCACUCUGGGACAACUACGCCGCCUGCUGUCAGAAAGAAUUCCCUGCAUGUGUAACAGUAGCAAAGGAUUAUGGGUAAUCCUCAGAGCAACGGAGGAUUUAUGAAGAGGUAACAUGUCUGUAAAUGUCUGUGGGCAAAACAAUGCUAACUUCGUUCAUAACUGUGUAGAAGUUUUGCUGGCUUUAACUGGUUACUUUUUGUGUGUCCCAGAAUCAUUUCGCCAUGUGUUUUUGAAGCUGACUGUGCGUUUGGAUGUGUUUUAUCGUUGUAAAAAAUUCUACUGCGUAGCUAGCUACCGCUAACACGAUGCCGUUUUUAUGUGUUUUAUCGUUGUAAAAAAAUUCUACUGCGUAGCUAGCUACCGCUAACACGAUGCCGUUUUUCUGGACAGAGCACAUGCUGUCGCCCACAAGAUGACGAUUUACUGAACUCCAUUGUCCUUUGUUAUGAACGCAGGUAUGUUAGUGUGUCCCUCUAUAAUGUGAUGUUAGUUAUUGCUGUUAUUGCUGGAUGUUAGAAAUAUGUCAAUGAGUUAUAUUCGCCGGUUUUUAUUAAUUGUAUUUUGUACUGUGUUAGCUGUUGUGAAUAUAUGAAAUAUAAAAAACAAGGGUAACAGUCCAGGAAAUUUUAUAUUAUUAUAAUAAUUUCUUGUAAUUUUCCCUCAAAUAAUCAAGAGGACACUUUCUGUUUUCAUGAGUUUAUUUUAUUGUCUUACCUAAAUUUAAUCCACUAUACGAUCACUUUCUUUAUUUAUGUAUUGUACUGAGUGUAAAGAGAUAUGAAGGGGUAAUCCUCAGAGCAACGGAGGAUUUAUGAAGAGAGCACAUGCUGUCGCCCACAAGAUGACGAUUUACUGAACUCCAUUGUCCUUUGUUAUGAACGCAGAAAAGGGAAUAAACCUGCUGUUGCCACCAGGCUGACCAGCUCCUGAUCGUCAUUUUAGAAAGGAAGACAUCUCACAUGGGUUACACACACACACACACACACAUACAUAUAUGAUUAUUCUCUUUUGUAUCUUUUUUGUCUUUUGGCCCCUUCACACCACAGACCCUGUAACUGUAAGUAGGCAACACUCCAAAGAUUUAUCCAAAUGGUAGUUUAAGUGUACUGAAACAUGUCACUGAUCUAGGAUGAAGAGGAUGAAACUGUGUCUGCUGCCUUUACAGAGGGGGGUCCAGAAAGGCAUACAGAGAGCAUGGCUGGACAGCAGCAGGAUGGUUCCUCAGCUUCCACUGCACAGACUGACAGUGAGAUGUAUGUUCAGGAAACACCAGAGGUUCAUUCUGUGGAAUUCAUGUGCAACUGUAUAAUUUAAUGUCCUCUAUGUAUUCCCAGUUAUCAGUAAAACAGAUUUACAAACUGCAUUUGCUGAGAAAAAUCCAAAACAACAGAUUAGGAGGGCAGAUCUGGAAAUUGAAAUACUGGAGUACAAGUUAGAGGUGGGUCAUGGUCACAGGUGAAUUAUGUUAACUACUGGAACAUGAACUGAACUAUCUGUUUUAUUUGUAGGAAAUAAAAAAGACCAAAUGAAA